RNAcentral lists this ribosomal RNA (253 nucleotides) under uncultured bacterium. Its description in RNAcentral is "partial 16S ribosomal RNA". It matches the Rfam family "Bacterial small subunit ribosomal RNA", at positions 524 to 776 of the family's 1533-position model. The record is from RNAcentral.
UACGUAGGGGGCUAGCGUUGUCCGGAUUUAUUGGGCGCAAAGAGCGUGUAGGCGGCCAUGUAGGUCCGGUGUGAAAACUCGAGGCUUAACCUCGAGAUGUCAUCGGAAACCAUUUGGCUAGAGUCCGGAAGAGGAGAGUGGAAUUCCUGGUGUAGCGGUGAAAUGCGCAGAUAUCAGGAAGAACACCAAUGGCGAAAGCAGCUCUCUGGGACGGUACUGACGCUGAGACGCGAAAGCCAGGGGAGCGAACGGG